GGGGAAACCUUUAACAAAAGGCAGGAAGAGGAUUCUUUUCAAACACGGAGAAUUGAACAUUGGCACGUCCUGUCUCCUGUCAAAAUGUCAUUUAAGUAACAGUACAGGAGUUAAAAAGGUAUAAACUCAGAAGCACAAAGAGAGCAGGAAGGACACAUAUUAGACAAGAGAAUAUACCCAAAGGAAUGUAAAUCAUUCUACCAUAAAGACACACGGAUGUAUACGUUCAUUGCAGCACUAUUCACAAUAGCAAAGACAUGAAAUCAACCUAAAUGCCCAUCAACUGCAGACUGGAUAAAGAAAAUGUAGUACAUAUACACCACGGAAUACUACACAGCCGUAAGAAAGAGCAAGAUCUUGUCCUUUGUGGAAACAAUGAAUUUAGAGGCCAUUGUUCUGAGUGAACUAAUGGAGGACCAGAACACCAAACACUGCAUGUUCACAUUUAUAAGUCGGAGCUAAACAUUGACAUUGAGUAGAUACAGACACAAAGAAGAGGCCAGUGGACAAUGGGGCCUGCUUCUUGGGUGGAGAAUGGGAGGAGGGUGAGAAUUGAAAAACCACCUAUUGAGUACUAUGCUUAUUACUUGGGUGAUGAAAUAACCUGCACAGCAACCCCCCACGACACACUAUUUACCCAUAUAACCAACCCACGCAUGUACCCCUGAACCUACAAUAUAAGUUAAAAAAAGUUCAGAAAAUGUUGAAAACCUGAAAGUGGAAGAUAAAUAGUAAACGACUUUGCAAACCUGAGAAAGCUGAAAGCUAAUAAUCUAUGAAUUGAUACAAAAUCCAGAAAGACUCAAGAAUUGAACAUGCCAGGUCCCAGAGGAGAGGGAUUGGGGCGGGCCUGGAAACUGGAGAAGUGGACAAUAGCUUUCAAGGAAAAUCCACUCAGAUUCAAGCCCUGAAAAUGAACCUGGCCUGACUGGCUCCGUAGCCUGUGUUUGUGCCUCUCCUACCCACAGGGACAGGCUGGGAUUUCUGAGCCCUGUGCAGGCUCAGGAGGAAAGGCAGAUUCUGGGGAAGAAGCCCCCAGCAACAGGAGCAAUCCCAGCUGCAGAGCCAGGCUCCUGUCGUCAGGCCUGGCCCAUGUCCUGCCAGUCAGCGCAUGGCUGGAGGACCGCACAACUAGCUGUGACGGUGGCUGCCUUCUUUCCAUUUCUACUCCAGCAAGCUGGCCCCAGGAACAGCUGCGUGGGAGGUAAAUGGAAACUUUGAGGAGAAAGCCCAGUGGUCACCCAGGGCUGGCGAUGCUCCUGCCUUUAAGGUGUCCUGGGCACCCGAGCAGCUGUGGGCUACGGCUUAUACUUUCCCUAACUGCGGGUGGCUUUAUUGGAAUGUGAGACACAGGCCAUUAACCUUUUACCCCAGUCAUGCAGCUAAUCACCAGAGCAUUUCACCACCUCAGCCGUGGCUGCAAAACACUAAGCUGAUUAUGGGAAAGUGCAGAACACGAAUGCUCUUGUGGAAUUUUCAGUAGAGAUAAGCAUUUGCUGAGAUUGAAUGUGAUGUGAACUCAGCGCCCUCUCCAUCUUACUGUGACCUGAAGCCCAAUGAGCCGGUCCCUGGGUGGACCCUGUCCCUGGGUGGACCCUGCCCCUCAGUGGCCCCUUCCAGGAAGGCCUUUGGUCUUCAUGCACUCAGUCAGCUGUGGCUGGUACCUGUCCUCCUCAGGCAUCAUCUCAGGUAAGACAAGGUGUGGGACCUGGGGCUGGCAGAAACAAGAACCCCUGGUGCUGGAAUGGCCGGCGGUGAAGGUUCUCCAGAGCUUAUCCCACUGCGGCAGCUCAGAAAGAUGAAGCAGCUCUCCCGUUGUGUCCUCCCAGCACACAAACCUGCUGUCAGUGACUCCAAGGCCCAGGAGGAGCUCCAAAAACCACACACUGGAGAAGAUCUGUCAUGGCCAAGUCCCACAGGGACUCCGGGCUGACAACCAGACCUGGCCCUGGGUUCUGACAGGGGCUUUUGGCAUGCCCCAUGGGACCCCCACAGAAGACCGUAGGACCUGACAGCAACUCCACAUUUCCAGAAGGAAGAAAACAGGAUCUUGGGUGUUGGUGGUGGGUCCCAGGAAUCUCCUCUCAGUGAAGCCAUUUCGUUCUUCCAGGGGCUGAGAUCCAAACCCAGAGCCUUUUGGCCUUCCUCUUCCCUCACUCCCCAUCAGCAUACACAGCCAGGACUGGGCCUCUGCUCCCUCUGGCCUUCCCCACUCACCCCUGGGCCAACCGUCCGCUUCUCGCCUGGAUGACUUUGGGGCCUCCCACCUGUCAGAUUAUACCUGUUACACCUGAGUCACAUCAGUCCCACCUGUGCUCAAACUCCCCACGGCCCCCAGCCCUCCUUUUUUAGCCUUUUCCUGCUUGUUUUCCCCAUUGCACUUGUUCGUAGCUGGCCUGGCUUGUAUUUCCCGGUUCAUUUGCAUUUUGAGUCCACCCCACUGCAAGGUGAACAUGUGAACAGCAUUUUGUUUGCUUUGUCAACAGCUAUAUCCUCAGUGCCUACAGUGUCCCCAGCAGGGAGCUCUGCUGAGCAUGUUGAUGCAGCGACACAGCCAGAGCUCCAGGCAGAGACCCCAUGGGUGGUGGUGUGCACUCGGCGGCACCUGUGAGGUCACCUAUGAUGGCA
RNAcentral lists this long non-coding RNA (2628 nucleotides) under Homo sapiens (human). RNAcentral describes it as "HSALNT0039601". Lineage: Eukaryota; Metazoa; Chordata; Mammalia; Primates; Hominidae. The record is from RNAcentral.